This 1079-nucleotide long non-coding RNA is filed under the name Marmota monax (woodchuck). Lineage: Eukaryota; Metazoa; Chordata; Mammalia; Rodentia; Sciuridae. The record is from RNAcentral.
AAACACUGAGGUUAGUCAAUAAUAGGUUGUAAAAUUUCUAGGUUCAAUUCUAUUCUUCUGAAGAAUACCAAUUUUAUUAAUACCAAUUUUUUAAGCAGACAAUCAAUAUAGCUAGACACAAAAAGUAAACUUUAUCUUUGGGCUUCUCAAAUACCACUUCAGUGUUUUAUUCUUAGCCAGAUUUUGUCCUAUCCCUGGUUCACACCAAGAAGUGGGCAAAGCUUUAUACAACAUUUGGGAUUCCUUCUCCCUCCAUCCUAGGAUUCCAACUCUCUUAUUAGUGACUACAGUUGCCUUAAAUUCUGUCCUCUUGUUUCUUGAACUUGAAAGUCUGCAGAUUACUUAUUGGAAUUUUAGUUGCCUAAUAAACAUUGUCUCACUAUGCUUUCAGACCAACGGCCAUUUAAAAAAGCAAAAUCACCAUUACUGUUUCCUUAUUCCAAAAGUCAAUUUACCUAAAAAUUCUGCCUAUUUUUAUUUACAUUCCAAUGCUUCAUAUCAUUUUAAACUUUCUUCUCCAAAACAUAUUAAUAUCCAUGGCAAGUUUGAGUGUGAUUGGUGCUAUACUCUGCAUACUACAAAAACACACAUAUAUGCACACAUUAUUUAAGAUUGAAAAAAAUCAAAUAGGGAAGAUAUAAGAAUAUCUUAUACACUAGAAGGAAGAAGAAACAAAAUAGACAAUAAGAUCAUUGUAGUGGUGAAUAACAGAUGUGAGGAAAAAGUAAAAUAUACAAAACAUUAAAAAAUAUUAUCAUUUGUUAUAGAUAAGAUAUAGUAAAAUGUUACAGUGAGUUAAUAUUCUAGUGUUAGUAAAUAAAUGCAUGGAUUGACAGGUCAAGAAGCCAUAGAGUGGUUGAAAAUAAAUUUGAUAAAAUCAGAGUGCAAAGAGUUUCAUGUAGCUUUCUGAUUCUUUUUUUUAACAUUUUAUUAUUUUUAAAUUUUAUUUAUUUAUUUAUUUAUUUUUACAUUAUGAAUCUUAAUAUACCUUUAUACCACAAUUUAUCAUAUAAACAAAUGCCAGAUGUCUUCGCUGAUAUAAGGGGGGUAACUCAAAAUGAGGUUGGGAGGAAGAGCAA